UGUAGAAAAACUGGUUCUCAUAUGAUCACUAAAGUUAAGCAACAUUAAGCCUGGUCAGUACCUAGAUGAGUGACCACUUGAGAAUAUGAGGUGCUGUAA
RNAcentral lists this ribosomal RNA (99 nucleotides) under Acanthosepion pharaonis. Lineage: Eukaryota; Metazoa; Mollusca; Cephalopoda; Sepiida; Sepiidae. The record is from RNAcentral.